Molecule: ribosomal RNA, 247 nt
Filed under: uncultured bacterium
Lineage: Bacteria
Description: partial 16S ribosomal RNA
Rfam family: Bacterial small subunit ribosomal RNA
Source: RNAcentral
AUACGUAGGGAGCGAGCGUUGUCCGGAAUUACUGGGCGUAAAGGGUGCGUAGGCGGCAUGGCAAGUCAGAUGUGAAAUUCCCGGGCUUAACUCGGGGGGUGCAUUUGAAACUGCUGAGCUUGAGUGCAGGAGAGGAAAGCGGAAUUCCUAGUGUAGCGGUGAAAUGCGUAGAUAUUAGGAGGAACACCAGUGGCGAAGGCGGCUUUCUGGACUGUAACUGACGCUGAGGCACGAAAGCGUGGGGAGC